UACAGAGGUCUCAAGCGUUGUUCGGAAUCACUGGGCGUAAAGGGUGGCGUAGGCUGCGGAGAAAGUCUGGUGUGAAAUUUGCGAGCUCAACUCGCAACUAGCACUUGAUACUACUUCGCUAGAGAUCUGGAGAGGAGCUUGGAAUUCUCGGUGUAGCAGUGAAAUGCGUAGAUUUCGAGAAGAACGCUCGCAGCGAAAGCGAAGCUCUGGCCAGAUUCUGACGCUGAGGCACGAAGGCUAGGGGAGCAAACGGG
RNAcentral lists this ribosomal RNA (254 nucleotides) under uncultured bacterium. RNAcentral describes it as "partial 16S ribosomal RNA". It matches the Rfam family "Bacterial small subunit ribosomal RNA", at positions 524 to 776 of the family's 1533-position model. The record is from RNAcentral.